This 28-nucleotide small RNA is filed under the name Bombyx mori (domestic silkworm). Its description in RNAcentral is "ovarian small RNA-3112". Lineage: Eukaryota; Metazoa; Arthropoda; Insecta; Lepidoptera; Bombycidae. The record is from RNAcentral.
UAUACACCGAGCAUAGCGGGCCGGAAAU